UUGAACGCUGGCGGCAGGCCUAACACCUGCAAGUCGAGCGGAUGAAGGGAGCUUGCUCCUGGAUUCAGCGGCGGACGGGUGAGUAAUGCCUAGGAAUCUGCCUGGUAGUGGGGGAUAACGUCCGGAAACGGGCGCUAAUACCGCAUACGUCCUGAGGGAGAAAGUGGGGGAUCUUCGGACCUCACGCUAUCAGAUGAGCCUAGGUCAGAUUAGCUAGUUGGUGGGGUAAAGGCCUACCAAGGCGACGAUCCGUAACUGGUCUGAGAGGAUGAUCAGUCACACUGGAACUGAGACACGGUCCAGACUCCUACGGGAGGCAGCAGUGGGGAAUAUUGGACAAUGGGCGAAAGCCUGAUCCAGCCAUGCCGCGUGUGUGAAGAAGGUCUUCGGAUUGUAAAGCACUUUAAGUUGGGAGGAAGGGCAGUAAGUUAAUACCUUGCUGUUUUGACGUUACCAACAGAAUAAGCACCGGCUAACUUCGUG
RNAcentral lists this ribosomal RNA (483 nucleotides) under uncultured bacterium. RNAcentral's name for it is "partial 16S ribosomal RNA". It matches the Rfam family "Bacterial small subunit ribosomal RNA", at positions 30 to 507 of the family's 1533-position model. The record is from RNAcentral.